AUACGGAGGAUGCAAGCGUUAUCCGGAUUUAUUGGGUUUAAAGGGUGCGUAGGCGGUUUGCUAAGCGGGAGGUGAAAUGCCGGCGCUCAACGUCGGAAGUGCCUCCCGAACUGGUGGACUUGAAUGACUCUGCCGUGGGAGGAAUGUGUAGUGUAGCGGUGAAAUGCUUAGAGAUUACACAGAACACCGAUUGCGAAGGCAUCUCACGAAGGGUUGAUUGACGCUGAGGCACGAAAGCGUGGGGAUCAAACAGGAUUAGAUACCCUGGUAGUCCACGCAGGAAACGAUGAUGGCUAACCGCUGGGCUUACCAGUUCAGUGGCCAAGCGAAAGCGAUAAGCCAUCCACCUGGGGAGUACGACCGCAAGGUUGAAACUCAAAUGAAUUGACGGGG
RNAcentral lists this ribosomal RNA (393 nucleotides) under uncultured bacterium. RNAcentral's name for it is "partial 16S ribosomal RNA". It matches the Rfam family "Bacterial small subunit ribosomal RNA", at positions 523 to 918 of the family's 1533-position model. The record is from RNAcentral.